This 208-nucleotide ribosomal RNA is filed under the name uncultured bacterium. RNAcentral's name for it is "partial 16S ribosomal RNA". It matches the Rfam family "Bacterial small subunit ribosomal RNA", at positions 1294 to 1500 of the family's 1533-position model. The record is from RNAcentral.
CGGAUCGCAGGCUGCAACCCGCCUGCGUGAAGUUGGAAUCGCUAGUAAUCGCGGAUCAGCAUGCCGCGGUGAAUACGUUCCCGGGCCUUGUACACACCGCCCGUCACACCAUGAGAGUCGGGAACACCCGAAGUCCGUAGCCUAACCGCGAAGGGGGGCGCGGCCGAAGGUGGGUUCGAUAAUUGGGGUGAAGUCGUAACAAGGUAAC